Molecule: ribosomal RNA, 117 nt
Filed under: Danio rerio (zebrafish)
Lineage: Eukaryota; Metazoa; Chordata; Actinopteri; Cypriniformes; Danionidae
Source: RNAcentral
AGCUGCAGCCAUAUCACCCUGCAGCCUAAGACCGGUUACUCACUGAAGCCAAGCAGGGCUGAGCCUGGUCAGUACCUGGAUGGGAGACCACAUGGGAAAACCAGGUUGCUGUUGGAA